This 97-nucleotide microRNA precursor is filed under the name Echinops telfairi (small Madagascar hedgehog). Lineage: Eukaryota; Metazoa; Chordata; Mammalia; Afrosoricida; Tenrecidae. The record is from RNAcentral.
CAGGCAUGGUGCGGUGGGGCAGCUGGUGUUGUGAAUCAGGCCGUGACCAAUCGGAAAACGGCUACUUCACAACACCAGGGUCGCACCCCACCCCAGG